CGGAGACUGCAAGCGUUAUUCGGAUUCACUGGGCGUAAAGGGUGCGCAGGCGGUUGGGUGUGUCAGAUGUGAAAUCCCGAGGCUCAACCUCGGAACUGCGUCUGAAACUACUCAACUAGAGUACUGGAGAGGGUAACGGAAUUCACGGUGUAGCAGUGAAAUGCGUAGAUAUCGUGAGGAACACCAGAGGCGAAGGCGGUUACCUGGACAGUUACUGACGCUCAGGCACGAAAGCAUGGGGAGCAAAAGGGAUUAGAUACCCCUGUAGUCCAUGCCCUAAACGGUGCACACUAGGUCUUAGCGGAUUCGACCCCACUAGGGCCCAAGCUAACGCGUUAAGUGUGCCGCCUGAGGACUACGGUCGCAAGACUA
Molecule: ribosomal RNA, 372 nt
Filed under: uncultured organism
Description: bacterial SSU rRNA
Rfam family: Bacterial small subunit ribosomal RNA
Source: RNAcentral